This is a long non-coding RNA of Triticum aestivum (bread wheat), 1047 nucleotides long. RefSeq lists it as uncharacterized. NCBI's taxonomy places the organism in Eukaryota, Viridiplantae, Streptophyta, Magnoliopsida, Poales, Poaceae. The record is from RefSeq and is a predicted model, not a curated record. The transcript has 3 exons.
UGUAGAUAUGACACUCCAUUAGUUCCACCGAAAUGGUACAUGCAUCCUGGAUGGAGCUGAUGCAUACAUAUCCUUUUAAUUCCUUUUCCUUUUUGUACAUUUAAAUAAAAAAAUACCAAUCUUGACUCUGGCCAAGAGCCGGUCGUUUGUUAUUGUUAUGGUAUAAAUGGUAUAUUAGAAAGGAGUGGCCAGAGCACAUAUUUGUUAUUGUUAUGGAAAUACAAGUGUUGUCACUGUAAAUACAAAAGGAGUGGGCAGAGUGCAUCUCACCCAUUCCAUGUACAUGAAGGUAGUUUCCUUUUACUUAUGAUUGCCUGGAUCAAAACAACUUACUUUCAUUCCUAAAUUGGAUGUAUUUGGCAUACUUCAGGCGGUUCCCUUGUGGUGCAACAACAAUGUUCCUUGCUACCAGCAAAUCAUAUCCAAAUGGAUAGACCCGGAGUGGAGGGCCCAACAUCGAAUGGCUUCCGAGCGGCGUGCCUUGAUGGGUGGUCCGGUACACCUUCAAGGCAACCUCAGCCUCCACGCUUACGUGCAGAAGAAGAAUAGGGAGAGAGGUGAGGGCCAAGAGAAGCUCAAUACCUUCACGGGAUUAUGUCUCUCCCGCAAGUCAAAGAAACCGGAAGGGGGUGGGUCAACCCAGGCGCUGGCUUGAGGAUUGAUGCAUACAGUGGGAAGUUCAAGGAGCACAACGGGCCUGACUCUGAUCCGGCCUCACAGGACAUUGACGCUACAAUUUCCCUCCAGUCGGGAGAUGUCAAGAAGGGUGGUCGGUUAUAUGUUGGCGACGGUGCCAUCCAUAAGAAGGACAUCCAAAAACUCUCUCACCUCCGUGCUACCACGUCGAGCUCAGGUCCUGCUAUAGAGCGUCGCCCACAGCUUGGGCUGCACAUGCUUCAUCAACUCGAGGCCAAUGCCAGGCUUCGAGAGGAGCAAGCCAUGAAAAUGCAGCAGGCUUUCAACAGCAAGAAUUCAUGGUUAAACAACAGGCAAUCCUGCAAGAGACAUUUGCUCAACUCAGAAAUAAUAUGCAGGGUUCCACUUUGC